AAGCCAUGAGGAUAAUUUAUGUGCUGAAUUUUAUUGAUUCAUUUAUACGCUAUUCUGAGCUUUUU
Physella acuta is the source of this 65-nucleotide small nucleolar RNA. RefSeq annotates it as small nucleolar RNA U54. Lineage: Eukaryota; Metazoa; Mollusca; Gastropoda; Physidae. The record is from RefSeq and is a predicted model, not a curated record.